AAUGGGGGAAACCCUGAUGCAGCGACGCCGCGUGAGUGAUGAAGCCCUUCGGGGUGUAAAGCUCUUUCGACAGGAACGAUAAUGACGGUACCUGAAGAAGAAGCUGCGGCUAACUACGUGCCAGCAGCCGCGGUAAUACGUAGGCAGCAAGCGUUGUUCGGAAUUACUGGGCGUAAAGAGUGCGUAGGUGGUUGGCUAAGUUUGGUGUGAAAUCUCCCGGCUCAACUGGGAGGGUGCGCCGAAAACUGGCUAGCUAGAGUGUGGGAGAGGGACGUGGAAUUCCUGGUGUAGCGGUGAAAUGCGUAGAUAUCAGGAGGAACACCUGCGGUGUAGACGGCGUCCUGGACCAUUACUGACACUGAGGCACGAAAGCGUGGGGAGCAAA
This 385-nucleotide ribosomal RNA is filed under the name uncultured bacterium. RNAcentral's name for it is "bacterial SSU rRNA". It matches the Rfam family "Bacterial small subunit ribosomal RNA", at positions 370 to 772 of the family's 1533-position model. The record is from RNAcentral.